This is a long non-coding RNA of Erinaceus europaeus (western European hedgehog), 874 nucleotides long. RefSeq lists it as uncharacterized. The record is from RefSeq and is a predicted model, not a curated record. The transcript is spliced from 5 exons. Lineage: Eukaryota; Metazoa; Chordata; Mammalia; Eulipotyphla; Erinaceidae.
GGUGGGAGCGGGCGUCGGGGGAGUCGGCCCGCGGGCAGGAAGUGGCCCGUGCCGCCGCCGCCCGAGCGCUUCCGGAGCACCUACUGUGUGCUGGGGGCCGGGGCCCGAAAGCAGAAAUAGUGCAAAAGCCCGGCCGGUGCGAGGCCGCCCCCAGCCAGGGCCCCCGUGGGCGGCGGGGCUGCCCACUGCGCCGAAAGGACAGAAACUGAGGCCCGGUUAGCCCGGGGUUUUUCCCCCCAGCUGCACUGCUCCUUCUGGUGGAAAAUCCCAAGCAACUGUAUGCCUGUCACCAGGAGCUGACUGGUUACAGCAGCACUGGAGCCUCUGUACAGGAGAAGUGUAUAGCGGGACACUGAGGUUUAUCACCAUCUUUCCAAUGGCAUGAAGAUGCAAUCAAUACCAUGUCUGUGUUAUGAAGGAGAUCUUGGGCUUCACUGGUCACUGUGCCCCCAGCACUCUGUUACAAACUCUGGAGCCUGUCUGGAAGGGACAUACUAAGUUGAGAUCUGAUGCUGGAGAAGGAAAGACCUAGACAACAGACAAAGAGAGAUCUGACCUUCAGGCCCUGGAAAUGCUUCAUGAUCGGUGUGGCACCUCCUAUCAUUGUAACUGAUCUCUGGUCACCACUGCACGGACGCCUACCAUUUGAGCGUCAUGCCUUUGAUGGUAAGGAGCUGGACACCUGAAGGUAGCAGGGAUCCAGACAAGCCUGAGCUCUGAUUCUAGCUCUGCCAUUUACCAGUUGUGUGGCCCCAGGGAGUGGUUAUAUCAUAGAGAUUAAGGCCUAAAUAUCUCCAAGGAAGUAGGGCUUUGGUGGAAUUUUCUGCCUUAGAGAGGAAGAGUCAAACUCUAAUCUUUUAGGGUAGCUUGACUU